GUAACAAGGUUUCCGUAGGUGAACCUGCGGAAGGAUCAUUAAAGAUUGACCGAAAGGUCUUAUCUCUAUAUCCCUCACCUCUGUGAACUGUGGACCUCCGGGUCUAUUUAACAAACAUCAGUGUAAUGAACGUAUAUAUCAUUAAACAAAACAAAACUUUCAACAACGGAUCUCUUGGCUCUCGCAUCGAUGAAGAACGCAGCGAAAUGCGAUAAGUAAUGUGAAUUGCAGAAUUCAGUGAAUCAUCGAAUCUUUGAACGCACCUUGCGCCUUUUGGUAUUCCGAAAGGCAUGCCUGUUUGAGUGUCAUGAAAUCUCAAUCCCCCUGGGUUUAUGAUCUGGGUCGGACUUGGAUAUGGGCGUCUGCCGGUCACACGGCUCGCCUCAAAUGACUUAGUGGAUCUCUCUGCAUCCGUGACAGACGUAAUAAGUUUCGUCUUGUCCCUUGCUUAUGAGUCUGCUCAUAACCUGCCAUCGCGCACUUUAGACUCUGACCUCAAAUCAGGUAGGACUACCCGCUGAACCUAAGCAUAUC
This 534-nucleotide unclassified non-coding RNA is filed under the name Papiliotrema laurentii. RNAcentral's name for it is "sequence contains 18S rRNA gene, ITS1, 5.8S rRNA gene, ITS2, 28S rRNA gene". The stretch from base 155 to 308 matches the Rfam family "5.8S ribosomal RNA". The record is from RNAcentral. Lineage: Eukaryota; Fungi; Basidiomycota; Tremellomycetes; Tremellales; Rhynchogastremaceae.